AAACAAAUAACAUUGGUCUUUAUAUCCAUACAUCAAAACAAUCCAACAAAACAACAGACAACAAUCCAGCUCUAUCCAUCCAUCUAUCAACUGCUUAAUGCACAUUGUUCCAACUAAAUUCAAAUCCUUUUUAUCACUUCCAAAGGAUCUAUUUGUAUGUACAACUCCACACUCUAUAGCCUUACAAUCAAUCAACAACUAAAAUUUUCAUUUAACUUUUUUUUAAAUAAAAAUAAAAAACCACAUGAACAUUCCCUAUCUUUACGCCUUGAAAUUCAAAAGGGAAAACUAACAAGCUUUCUCCGAUGAAUAAUUACAAACUUUACUGUCAGAAAUUUGACGAGUUUGGGCAAUUCCCAUUUCUCGCCCCGCCACCAACCCUGUAUCGACUCCGGCCAGCUCCACCCAAUUCCAAUACCGCUUCCCUAUCAGCCUCCUCAUCGUCCUCGUCUCCCUUUCUCAUCAUCUGCAAAAUUUUCUUUGCUUUCUCUCUCGCUCUGUCGUUUCCUCUCUCUUCUAUCUCCCUCAACACCUCCACUGCUCUCGCCUCCUUAGCUAGCCCUUUAAAUCUUAAGCUCCCAUGACUCAAUGCCAACAAUGCCGCCACGCAAUACUCCUGAGUUGCUUCCGAGUCUACCCGCUCACUUCCCUCGCUCAACAUCCCCACCAAUAUUGCCACCGCAUUUCCAUCCAGCAUUGCCGAUCUCCCUUCCUUGCCAGCAGCUAAAUUGCAUAAAAUUAGCAACAGCCGGCUCGCCAAGUCACCUGCUUUAAUCAUGCCAAGCAGUGUUGGCACAGCGCCCAGUUUCACCAGCUUGGCCCUAUUACUCUGGAUUAAACUCAAAUGAUACAAGGCCAAAGCUGAGUCGUGGCGAGUUCGCUCACUCUCACACCUCAGAGCGUGCAUCAAUGGGUGUAACGCUCCCAAAACCCCUAUUGUCAUCUUGUUCUCGUCUUCUAAAGCUAAACUGAAAAGCGCACCGGCGGCAUGCUCUUGCGGUUCACUGGAUCCGGCCGUUAAUAGAUCAAUCAAAAGAGGAACAAAUCCUGACCGUACGAUUUUAACUUUGUUCGCUUUCUCCAGCGAGAGAUUUACCAGUGCAGCGAUGGCGUUCGUUUGCACGACGCAGUAUCUCGACGCAAUCAAGGAACGGAGAGCUGUGAGUAAUCGGUGAGUACACAGAGGAAUUCUCAUUUCCUCUCGUGCUCUAGUAAGCUUCCUCAGCGAAAUCACCGCCUCUUCUUGUUCGUAUACUUCAGGGCUUCUAAGCUUAGCCACAAUCUCUUCCUCUUCAGUGAAUGAGGAAUUGGAGCUGGAGUCAGCGGAAUCAGGAUUUUGCGUUAGGGUUUCAGCUUCAGCAAUUUCGGAUGACGAGUUAGAAGAUGAAGUAUAACACGCUGGGCGAGUCGCGAAAGGCAGCAGAGUAAACGGACUCGCCGUCGCGUUGUUGACAAUCAUGGAUUCCUCGGAGGAGCUCGAGUAGAAAUGAUUGACUCGGCGAGUCAACUCGGUCUGCGCGUGGGAGAAUAGAACAGGAGGAUUUUCUGCCACAGCCUUCAGCAACUCGCUCUCGGAGACCCUAUUCUCGGGGUUCAAAGUUUUCGAUUCAACCAUCUUCUUACGGACGGCUUUUUCCACAGAGCUGUAAUCUGGCGGGAGAGGACGUUCAGCGCCAUUAGUAUCACACCAGUUGAGAAUCGUCGAUUUGAUGGCUAAAUUGGGGAUUACAGUAGUUAAAUCCGGAAUGGAACCAUCAUCGAGGGAAGGAGCGAAAUUCAGGUCUCGACAAACCUGGACAGAGACGCGCUCGAAGGUCUGACCGGAGGAGACAACAACAGGGUCGUACAUUAAGGAUCCAGAAAUGGGGCAAAGGAACUCUUUUGGAGGAUGAGUAGAUUUGUGGUUGGAGUUGGAGCGACGGUAGAAGGAGAUUUUCCAUCUGUGCUUGCCAUUACCACCCAUAGCUUGAAAAAGUAGUAGAGAUGAAUUGUGGCAAGAAGCUUUUGAAGUUGGGGUUUUUAUUAACAGGAAGAAGACUGGGUCUGAAGGUCUGGUUUUUAGUCUUACUCGGCUAAAGCAGCUAGUUUUCUUGUCUUUUUCUUUCCUUUUCUUUUGCUGAGGCAUUUAAUAAAACCAAUUUGAGUUAGUUAUUUACAGAAUUGACCUUCACUCUGGUCGGUCAAUGUCCAGCUGUCGAGAAUUCUAUUGUUAGCGCUAUGUUUUUUUUCUUAAUUUUUAUUACAUUUUUAUUUAUUUCAAUUUCUG
RNAcentral lists this unclassified non-coding RNA (2266 nucleotides) under Hevea brasiliensis (rubber tree). The record is from RNAcentral. Lineage: Eukaryota; Viridiplantae; Streptophyta; Magnoliopsida; Malpighiales; Euphorbiaceae.